RNAcentral lists this ribosomal RNA (497 nucleotides) under uncultured bacterium. RNAcentral's name for it is "partial 16S ribosomal RNA". It matches the Rfam family "Bacterial small subunit ribosomal RNA", at positions 28 to 507 of the family's 1533-position model. The record is from RNAcentral.
GACGAACGCUGGCGGCGUGCCUAAUACAUGCAAGUUGAGCGCUGAAGGUUGGUACUUGUACCAACUGGAUGAGCAGCGAACGGGUGAGUAACGCGUGGGGAAUCUGCCUUUGAGCGGGGGACAACAUUUGGAAACGAAUGCUAAUACCGCAUAAAAACUUUAAACCAAAUUUUUAAUUUUGAAAAAUCCAAUUCCUUCCCUCAAGGAUGUUCCCCCGUUGUAUUAGCUAGUUGGUGAGGUAAAGGCUCACCAAGGCGAUGAUACAUAGCCGACCUGAGAGGGUGAUCGGCCACAUUGGGACUGAGACACGGCCCAAACUCCUACGGGAGGCAGCAGUAGGGAAUCUUCGGCAAUGGACGAAAGUCUGACCGAGCAACGCCGCGUGAGUGAAGAAGGUUUUCGGAUCGUAAAACUCUGUUGGUAGAGAAGAACGUUGGUGAGAGUGGAAAGCUCAUCAAGUGACGGUAACUACCCAGAAAGGGACGGCUAACUACGUG